GGUUAAGCGACUAAGCGUACACGGUGGAUGCCCUGGCAGUCAGAGGCGAUGAAGGRCGUGCUAAUCUGCGAUAAGCGCCGGUAAGGUGAUAUGAACCGUUAUAACCGGCGAUWYCCGAAUGGGGAAACCCAGUGUGAYUCGUCACACUAUCAUUAACUGAAUCCAUAGGUUAAUGAGGCGAACCGGGGGAACUGAAACAUCUAAGUACCCCGAGGAAAAGAAAUCAACCGAGAUUCCCCCAGUAGCGGCGAGCGAACGGGGAGGAGCCCAGAGCCUGAAUCAGCAUGUGUGUUAGUGGAAGCGUCUGGAAAGGCGCGCGAUACAGGGUGACAGCCCCGUACACAAAAGCGCAUGUGCUGUGAGCUCGAUGAGUAGGGCGGGACACGUGGUAUCCUGUCUGAAUAUGGGGGGACCAUCCUCCAAGGCUAAAUACUCCUGACUGACCGAUAGUGAACCAGUACCGUGAGGGAAAGGCGAAAAGAACCCCGGCGAGGGGAGUGAAAAAGAACCUGAAACCGUGUACGUACAAGCAGUGGGAGC
Molecule: ribosomal RNA, 540 nt
Filed under: Salmonella enterica
Lineage: Bacteria; Pseudomonadati; Pseudomonadota; Gammaproteobacteria; Enterobacterales; Enterobacteriaceae
Description: partial 23S ribosomal RNA
Source: RNAcentral